This is an RNA transcript of Gastrolobium bilobum, 1180 nucleotides long. It is a transcript of the gene named pyrroline-5-carboxylate reductase-like, with no coding region annotated. Lineage: Eukaryota; Viridiplantae; Streptophyta; Magnoliopsida; Fabales; Fabaceae. The record is from RefSeq and is a predicted model, not a curated record. The transcript has 6 exons.
AAAGCCACCACAACAUUGUUUCUCUCACUUGUUCUUCCUUCAAAUUCUCAGUCCAAUUUUUUCUUUCCCAAAUUCUUAGUCUCGCACUCCAUUCAUAAUAAACACAUGCCAUUUUUUAUUCAGAUUUCUUCAUCUUUGUUUUAUUCUAAUUUACGAUUCGUUCUAAUUUCUUGUUUUCCCUCUUUCUUUGUUAGGUUUUGGAUCUGUGUUUCAUUUGCAAAAAUGAUGACCGUGUCUCAUUAUCUCUCAAUCUCCUGUGCUUCUCUCCUUCGCCAUUUGCAGGUGGGUUGGUGGAUGCAUGGAAGAUAUGUGGCAAGUAGUUAUAAUCAAAGUUCUCGCCCUCGGGCCGACAUUUGGAGACAUCGUUUUUCGAUUAAGGACAAGGAUAUGGCUAUGCCGAAGCAACAGAAGAAGCUAUCUCAGAAGAAGCAACAACACCCACAAGUAUCACAGUCAUGGUGAGAGCUCAAACGUGCCACCCUUUGGAUCCACUAUCUGCUGCUGAAAUAUCUGUAGCCGUAGGAACUGUUUGGGCAGCUGGGGCAACACCUGAGACCAUUUUGAAGUAUAUGUGUUUUAGAUAGAGAUUAAAAUGUAGGAAUGGGCUGGGAACGACAGAUUUAUAAGGGUAAUGCCUCGUACUCCUGCUGGUGUUGGCGAGGCAGCAUCAGUUAUGAGCUUGGGGGGAGCUGCAACAGAAGAAGAUGGAAACCUUAUAGCCAAAUUAUUUGGGUCAAUUGGCAAAAUAUGGAAAGCUGAUGAAAAGUAUUUUGAUGCAAUAACUGGCCUGAGGUAUGUAGAUCUCAUUUUAUAAAAAUGAUAUAAUAAAAUUUGGAUAUUAUCUAAGAAAUCCACUAGAAAUUUUCAUUUUAUCUAUGAUGGACGAAAAUUUUCUUAGAGUUAAGAGAUGAAGCCAUGCAAUUCUAGGCUAUGUACAUUUGAAAGAACAAAAGAAGAGUGUCUGGGAUGAAUACUCUGCUCAACACAUUUACCUAUGAUGCAUCAUUUGAGAUGCUCGAUCUUGCAAAUUUUUUUACCCAAUUCAAUAAAUUCGUUUACCCAGAUUUUGAUCCGCUUGGCCCAACUUCUGAAAUGAGUUUUAACUUAAAUAAAAAACCCAACGGCCCAUUUACAAAACCCUAUAUACCAAAGUUACAAACAGCUAAUAUUUCCAAAAAAA